RNAcentral lists this ribosomal RNA (440 nucleotides) under uncultured bacterium. RNAcentral's name for it is "partial 16S ribosomal RNA". It matches the Rfam family "Bacterial small subunit ribosomal RNA", at positions 338 to 795 of the family's 1533-position model. The record is from RNAcentral.
CCUACGGGAGGCAGCAGUAGGGAAUAUUGCUCAAUGGGGGAAACCCUGAAGCAGCAACGCCGCGUGGAGGAUGAAGGUUUUCGGAUUGUAAACUCCUUUUGUUAGAGAAGAUAAUGACGGUAUCUAACGAAUAAGCUCCGGCUAACUCCGUGCCAGCAGCCGCGGUAAUACGGAGGGUGCAAGCGUUACUCGGAAUCACUGGGCGUAAAGCGCGCGUAGGCGGGAUAGCAAGUCAGAUGUGAAAUCCUAUGGCUUAACCAUAGAACUGCAUUUGAAACUGUUAUUCUAGAGUAUGGGAGAGGUAGGUGGAAUUCUUGGUGUAGGGGUAAAAUCCGUAGAGAUCAAGAGGAAUACUCAUUGCGAAGGCGACCUGCUAGAACAUAACUGACGCUGAUGCACGAAAGCGUGGGGAGCAAACAGGAUUAGAUACCCUAGUAGUC